This 777-nucleotide ribosomal RNA is filed under the name uncultured Neocallimastigales. Its description in RNAcentral is "partial large subunit ribosomal RNA". It matches the Rfam family "Eukaryotic large subunit ribosomal RNA", at positions 23 to 644 of the family's 3401-position model. Lineage: Eukaryota; Fungi; Neocallimastigomycota; Neocallimastigomycetes; Neocallimastigales. The record is from RNAcentral.
AGAGAGAGACAUGCGCGCAUAUCAAUAAGCGGAGGAAAAGAAACUAACAAGGAUUCCCUUAGUAACGGCGAGUGAAGCGGGAAGAGCUCAAAUUUGAAAUCUUCAAGGUUCUACCUUGACGAAUUGUAGUUUAUAGAAGUGUUUUCUGUUAGUGGAGUGGCAAAAGUUCUUUGGAAUAGGACAUCAUAGAGGGUGAGAAUCCCGUAUUUGGUCAUUCCUCCUAGCGUUAUGAUACACUUUCAACGAGUCGGAUUGUUUGGGAAUGCAGUCCAAAAUGGGUGGUAAAUUUCAUCUAAAGCUAAAUAUUGGCGAGAGACCGAUAGCGAACAAGUACCGUGAGGGAAAGAUGAAAAGAACUUUGAAAAGAGAGUUAAACAGUACGUGAAAUUGUCGAAAGGGAAGCGUUUGACACCAGUGUUGUUUUUCCGAAAAUCAAUUACGAAUGUUUUAUUUUUGAGGAGUUAUGACUUCAUCGGCUUGCUCCUUUCUUUAUGAAACUUUCUUAAUGCACUUUUCGGUUAACAAGUCAACAUCAAUUUCUUUUGUUGUAAAAGGGUAUGAGGAAGGUGGCUUUCUUUUCGGAGAAAGUGUUUAUAGCCUUGUGCCUCUGCAAUCGGAGAGAUUGAGGUCUGCAGCGUAGAUCCUUCGGGGUUAGAUAGCAUUUGUGCUAAGUUAUAGCCUUUCAUAGACAACUUGUUGACUAUGAUUAGUCAUUGUAGCUUACUCGCUUACUGCUAUUUUACCUACGCUUAGGAUGUUGAUAGUCACAGCGUGUAC